Molecule: ribosomal RNA, 425 nt
Filed under: uncultured bacterium
Lineage: Bacteria
Description: bacterial SSU rRNA
Rfam family: Bacterial small subunit ribosomal RNA
Source: RNAcentral
GAAUUUUGGACAAUGGGCGAAAGCCUGAUCCAGCCAUGCCGCGUGAGUGAAGAAGGCCUUCGGGUUGUAAAGCUCCUUCAGCCGGAACGAAAUCGUCCGGGCUAAUACUCCGGAUGGAUGACGGUACUGGAAGAAGAAGCACCGGCUAACUACGUGCCAGCAGCCGCGGUAAUACGUAGGGUGCAGGCGUUAAUCGGAAUUACUGGGCGUAAAGCGUGCGCAGGCGGCUUUCCAAGUCAGAUGUGAAAUCCCCGGGCUUAACCUGGGAACUGCGUUUGAAACUGGGAGGCUAGAGUACGGCAGAGGGGGGUGGAAUUCCACGUGUAGCAGUGAAAUGCGUAGAUAUGUGGAGGAACACCGAUGGCGAAGGCAGCCCCCUGGGCCGAUACUGACGCUCAUGCACGAAAGCGUGGGGAGCAAACAGG